This 360-nucleotide ribosomal RNA is filed under the name uncultured delta proteobacterium. Its description in RNAcentral is "bacterial SSU rRNA". It matches the Rfam family "Bacterial small subunit ribosomal RNA", at positions 1110 to 1469 of the family's 1533-position model. Lineage: Bacteria; Deltaproteobacteria. The record is from RNAcentral.
AUCAGUUGCCAUCACAUAAUGGUGGGCACUCUGGUGAGACUGCCCGGGUUAACCGGGAGGAAGGUGGGGACGACGUCAAGUCAUCAUGGCCCUUACGUCCAGGGCUACACACGUACUACAAUGGCGGAUACAAAGGGUAGCGAAACCGCGAGGUGAAGCCAAUCCCAAAAAGUCCGUCCCAGUCCGGAUCGCAGUCUGCAACUCGACUGUGUGAAGUUGGAAUCGCUAGUAAUCCCGGAUCAGCAUGCCGGGGUGAAUACGUUCCCGGGCCUUGUACACACCGCCCGUCACACCACGAAAGCUGGUUCUACCCGAAAUCGACGGACUAACCUUCGGGAGGUAGUCGCCUACGGUAGGGCU